Molecule: ribosomal RNA, 497 nt
Filed under: uncultured bacterium
Lineage: Bacteria
Description: partial 16S ribosomal RNA
Rfam family: Bacterial small subunit ribosomal RNA
Source: RNAcentral
GAUGAACGCUGGCGGCGUGCCUAAUACAUGCAAGUCGAGCGAACGGACGAGAAGCUUGCUUCUCUGAUGUUAGCGGCGGACGGGCGAGUAACACGUGGAUAACCUACCUAUAAGACUGGGAUAACUUCGGGAAACCGGAGCUAAUACCGGAUAAUAUUUUGAACCGCAUGGUUCAAAAGUGAAAGACGGUCUUGCUGUCACUUAUAGAUGGAUCCGCGCUGCAUUAGCUAGUUGGUAAGGUAACGGCUUACCAAGGCAACGAUGCAUAGCCGACCUGAGAGGGUGAUCGGCCACACUGGAACUGAGACACGGUCCAGACUCCUACGGGAGGCAGCAGUAGGGAAUCUUCCGCAAUGGGCGAAAGCCUGACGGAUCAACGCCGCGUGAGUGAUGAAGGUCUUCGGAUCGUAAAACUCUGUUAUUAGGGAAGAACAUAUGUGUAAGUAACUGUGCACAUCUUGACGGUACCUAAUCAGAAAGCCACGGCUAACUACGUG